AUACGGAGGGUGCAAGCGUUAAUCGGAAUUACUGGGCGUAAAGCGCGCGUAGGCGGUUAGAUAAGUCGGAUGUGAAAUCCCUGGGCUCAACCUGGGAACUGCAUUCGAUACUGUCUAACUAGAGUAUGGUAGAGGGAAGUGGAAUUCCGGGUGUAGCGGUGAAAUGCGUAGAUAUCCGGAGGAACAUCAGUGGCGAAGGCGACUUCCUGGACCAAUACAGACGCUGAGGUGCGAAAGCGUGGGGAGCAAACAGGAUUAGAUACCCUAGUAGUCC
This 274-nucleotide ribosomal RNA is filed under the name uncultured bacterium. RNAcentral's name for it is "partial 16S ribosomal RNA". It matches the Rfam family "Bacterial small subunit ribosomal RNA", at positions 523 to 796 of the family's 1533-position model. The record is from RNAcentral.